Molecule: ribosomal RNA, 446 nt
Filed under: uncultured bacterium
Lineage: Bacteria
Description: partial 16S ribosomal RNA
Rfam family: Bacterial small subunit ribosomal RNA
Source: RNAcentral
CCUACGGGUGGCAGCAGUCGAGAAUCAUUCACAAUGGGGGAAACCCUGAUGGUGCGACGCCGCGUGGGGGAAUGAAGGUCUUCGGAUUGUAAACCCCUGUCAUGUGGGAGCAAAUUAAAAAGAUAGUACCCCAAGAGGAAGAGACGGCUAACUCUGUGCCAGCAGCCGCGGUAAUACAGAGGUCUCAAGCGUGGUUCGGAAUCACUGGGCGUAAAGCGUGCGUAGGCUGUUUCGUAAGUCGUGUGUGAAAGGCGCGGGCUCAACCCGCGGACGGCACAUGAUACUGCGAGACUAGAGUAAUGGAGAGGGAAGCGGAAUUCUCGGUGUAGCAGUGAAAUGCGUAGAUAUCGCGAGGAACACUCGUGGCGAAGGCGGGUUCCUGGACAUUCACUGACGCUGAGGCACGAAGGCCAGGGGAGCGAAAGGGAUUAGAUACCCCAGUAGUC